UAAAAACGGUACUCAGUUCGGAUUGUAGGCUGCAACUCGCCUACAUGAAGUCGGAAUUGCUAGUAAUCGCGGAUCAGCAUGCCGCGGUGAAUACGUUCCCGGGCCUUGUACACACCGCCCGUCACACCAUGGAAGUUGGUAACACCCGAAGCCUGUAGCCUAACCGCAAGGAGGGCGCAGUCGAAGGUGGGAUUGAUGACUGGGGUGAAGUCGUAACAAGGUACC
This 225-nucleotide ribosomal RNA is filed under the name uncultured bacterium. RNAcentral's name for it is "partial 16S ribosomal RNA". It matches the Rfam family "Bacterial small subunit ribosomal RNA", at positions 1276 to 1500 of the family's 1533-position model. The record is from RNAcentral.